Molecule: ribosomal RNA, 497 nt
Filed under: uncultured bacterium
Lineage: Bacteria
Description: partial 16S ribosomal RNA
Rfam family: Bacterial small subunit ribosomal RNA
Source: RNAcentral
GAUGAACGCUGGCGGUGUGCCUAAUACAUGCAAGUCGAGCGAACAGACGAGGAGCUUACUCCUCUGACGUUAGCGGCGGACGGGUGAGUAACACGUGGAUAACCUACCUAUAAGACUGGGAUAACUUCGGGAAACCGGAGCUAAUACCGGAUAACAUGUUGAACCGCAUGGUUCAACAGUGAAAGACGGUCUUGCUGUCACUUAUAGAUGGAUCCGCGUCGCAUUAGCUAGUUGGUAAGGUAACGGCUUACCAAGGCAGCGAUGCGUAGCCGACCUGAGAGGGUGAUCGGCCACACUGGAACUGAGACACGGUCCAGAAUCCUACGGGAGGCAGCAGUAGGGAAUCUCCCGCAAUGGGCGAAAGCCUGACGGAGCAACGCCGCGUGAGUGAAGAAGGUCUUCGGAUCGUAAAACUCUGUUAUUAGGGAAGAACAAAUGUGUAAGUAACUAUGCACGUCUUGACGGUACCUAAUCAGAAAGCCACGGCUAACUACGUG